CUUAUAGCAGACUCAUUCUGGCUGCUGUGUUGAAAAUAAAAUGAGGCAGAGCUGGAGCCAAAGCAGGAAAAUCUGGGAGGAGGCUAUUUUAACCAUCCACGCGAGAGAUGAUGCUGGUCUGCUUGAGUUUCCUGGAGGUCCACUCCAGACCCUAUUUGCCUGGAUAUCACCAGCAGAGGCUGCAGAACAGCAAAGAUUGCUGCUUGCUCCUUCCUGUGGAAGCUUCAUCCCAGAGGGGCACCCACCUGAUGCCAGCCAGAGCUCUCCUGUAUGAGAGAUGCCCUGCUCAGUAAGGAGGAAUCUAGAGAGGCAGUCUGAC
This 319-nucleotide long non-coding RNA is filed under the name Homo sapiens (human). RNAcentral's name for it is "HSALNT0369588". The record is from RNAcentral. Lineage: Eukaryota; Metazoa; Chordata; Mammalia; Primates; Hominidae.